RNAcentral lists this ribosomal RNA (861 nucleotides) under Lactiplantibacillus plantarum. RNAcentral describes it as "bacterial SSU rRNA". It matches the Rfam family "Bacterial small subunit ribosomal RNA", at positions 85 to 930 of the family's 1533-position model. Lineage: Bacteria; Bacillati; Bacillota; Bacilli; Lactobacillales; Lactobacillaceae. The record is from RNAcentral.
AUUUGAGUGAGUGGCGAACUGGUGAGUAACACGUGGGAAACCUGCCCAGAAGCGGGGGAUAACACCUGGAAACAGAUGCUAAUACCGCAUAACAACUUGGACCGCAUGGUCCGAGUUUGAAAGAUGGCUUCGGCUAUCACUUUUGGAUGGUCCCGCGGCGUAUUAGCUAGAUGGUGAGGUAACGGCUCACCAUGGCAAUGAUACGUAGCCGACCUGAGAGGGUAAUCGGCCACAUUGGGACUGAGACACGGCCCAAACUCCUACGGGAGGCAGCAGUAGGGAAUCUUCCACAAUGGACGAAAGUCUGAUGGAGCAACGCCGCGUGAGUGAAGAAGGGUUUCGGCUCGUAAAACUCUGUUGUUAAAGAAGAACAUAUCUGAGAGUAACUGUUCAGGUAUUGACGGUAUUUAACCAGAAAGCCACGGCUAACUACGUGCCAGCAGCCGCGGUAAUACGUAGGUGGCAAGCGUUGUCCGGAUUUAUUGGGCGUAAAGCGAGCGCAGGCGGUUUUUUAAGUCUGAUGUGAAAGCCUUCGGCUCAACCGAAGAAGUGCAUCGGAAACUGGGAAACUUGAGUGCAGAAGAGGACAGUGGAACUCCAUGUGUAGCGGUGAAAUGCGUAGAUAUAUGGAAGAACACCAGUGGCGAAGGCGGCUGUCUGGUCUGUAACUGACGCUGAGGCUCGAAAGUAUGGGUAGCAAACAGGAUUAGAUACCCUGGUAGUCCAUACCGUAAACGAUGAAUGCUAAGUGUUGGAGGGUUUCCGCCCUUCAGUGCUGCAGCUAACGCAUUAAGCAUUCCGCCUGGGGAGUACGGGCCGCAAGGCUGAAACUCAAGGAAUUGACGGGGGGCCCGCACAAGC